Molecule: non-coding RNA, 30 nt
Filed under: Mus musculus (house mouse)
Lineage: Eukaryota; Metazoa; Chordata; Mammalia; Rodentia; Muridae
Source: RNAcentral
UAGAAAAGGUUGGCCAAUGCUCAUGGGGAC